Molecule: long non-coding RNA, 20744 nt
Filed under: Xyrichtys novacula (pearly razorfish)
Lineage: Eukaryota; Metazoa; Chordata; Actinopteri; Labriformes; Labridae
Source: RNAcentral
UACACUCGUCCUGCUUCUCACAAAAUAGGUCUGAAGUCUUAUAUACAGUCUAUGGUUGAGAUGCAGACUGCACACGUCUUUUAAUUAUACUUCUGCUAAUAAUAAUGUGAGUAUGAGUGUGACUUUAUUACUACUUAUAUGAUAACUACUAUAUACAUCCCUUCUUUAUUUCCUGUACUUAAAGUUUAUUGUCAGCUUUAUACAAGUUUUGUACAAUUAAAGGUAAUUUUUCAGCUUCUUUCUACGUUUCCUACAAAUGUGUUUUAUUUGUAUAUGUGCAGGACAAAUAUACGACCCUAACGCUUAGCCAGCAGGUGACCAGUUUUUAAAGUUGUGCUGACAUUCGGCUUAUUGACACAGACACGCACGCAAGCGUGCACACGCAAGUAAAUAAACAUUCUUUGGCAGCAUAAUACCGUCAUGUGUUUUCAAGUGUCACAUUUCCGAGUGUUCCUGAAUGUCUCAAAGACGUCAACUGUGUGUCUGUGUGAACCCACGGUAUUCUGUGUCAGACUCUGCUCAGGUAAGUCGAUGCACAGUCUCUGUUAAUGUCCAGACACUACAAAUGAGGAUUUAACGUUUCUACAUGACACUGGUUUGAGUUAUAUUCGAUUAAGAGGAUGUGAGAGGUCGAGAUAUUGACUUGAAAAUGCGUAAAGUACAUAUGAUACUGUUAAACUAUAUGACGCUAAAGCUAUUAGCGUCGAGCUAACGCUAAAGCUAACAACAUACUACUAAUAAGGCUGAGUCAUGUGCUUGCUGAAAUACACAAUAUUGACUCAAUAUGUGAGCUGGCGUCAUGUUAUACACCGUGCCAGCUAAUAUUUACUUUAUAAAGUUCAUCAAUGUGACGGGGUGUAUUGCUAUUGAAGAGCAUUUGUUAAUGGGAGACGAUUGUGUCUGUAGCGCCGUUGCUAAAGGUAACACACUGUUGAUUACUGUUACUCUGUCAUAUUAACAGCUGGGUAAUUGACACGGGGAUGUUAGCUGUUAAGCUCCUGAUUACUUUCUAUCAAUUUUGUAGAUGUUUUUGCUAAUAUAGGUUAUCUUUACCAAGCACCUAGUUGUAACACAUUUGAAAUUAUAUUUUUUUAUGUGUUAAAAUUAUACAACAUGCUCUUCUAUUUAUUGAGGGGGUUAUUCAUGAUGGUAAUGAUACAGAUAUUUACAAUGUCAAACAUCACAUUAUCUACAUAUGUGUUCUACAACCACAAGUUCAAAUGAAUAUUGAUUUAAUGGAUGGGUUGUAAGCUGCCUUGAAACUUGUGAACCACCUUCUCCUCUGUUUUUGCUUCAGUAGCUGAUGCUGAAAUUUAUCUACUACUGUACCAUACGUUUACUUUAUAUGAGUUUGAAAUACUUCAUAAAAGGUGUUCUGUGACAUUUUAAGCUGCAGCUAACAGUGAGGUGAUGUUUUAGAGCUGUUUCAUUUUCUAUUACUAUUAUGACUGUAAUAAUGUUGCUUUUCUCAUAGGCCUGCUGUUUUAAUGAACUAUGUAUCUGACAGAUAGCACUAAUGUAUUGUUUUUUGUCUCAAACAAACAGAAGAUUAUACCACUCCCGUGCGUUUAUUGGUAAGUACAAGUGUUAUUACCAAAAGUCACAUAAUACUCUAAAAAUUAGCUGGAUAAAUGUUUUGCUUUAUCCUGGUAAACAAGAACUCAUGAAACAUAUAUUUCAACAGAUGAUGCAUCUAAUAAAGACUGACUUUAAUUAGAUAUUAAAUGUUGAUCUUUCUGUAUCACUACUGCAUAUCCUAUAAUAUAUAUAUAUAUAUAUGUACAUAUAUAUAUAUAUAUAUAUAUAUAUAUAUAUAUACAUAUAUAUAUGGGAUACAUUUUUUCCUGGUGGACAACUGUGUUAACAAUAUUACCACACAACUACAUUUGUUUAUUCAAAACAUUUGAACUUGCUGGGAAAGUGUGACUUGAUUUUCAUAAUAAUGAUGAGGGAAAAUCUUUUGGGAAAAUGAGUGAAUGAAGUGAGCUGUGAGGUUGUUUGUUGUAAAGAGUAUUAAAUAUCUGUUUUUCUCCCUCAUUCCCUCCUCCUGCAUUGUGUUUUCCUCUGACCUUUGCCAAACCCACCUUUGAACUCUAAAGCGUAAUUUCACAGUUAUAUCCACUUAAGUUAUCACUGUAAUGUCAUAUUAUUUAUCUGCAGUCUGUAAUGACAAUUUACUGUUUGGAUUUCAUCUUAAUUAUAGACAUAAGAGAGUAAAUAGUGAAAAGGCUUUUUCAUUGUGUAUGACAUGUUUUCUACAUUUUAAGCUUCAUGUUUUUCAGGCCAAGGUUGCUUCACUAUAAUCUUUCCAAUAAUUAUGUGGUAUAAUACAUGAACUUGGAUAAGAAAUGACAAAACUAAUGAUUGUCAAUGAAAAAUGGUUGUGCCUCCAAUUAAGUAUGACAUAAUGAUUGUUUGGCAACUACAUUUACAUUUACAUUUUCUUUCUCAAUAAUUUCACUGCUUCUGAAAUUGGCUAUUCUAUCUCUUUAAUGCAGACCAUUGCGGCCAACUCAGCUGAAAGUUCACUAACACAAAUACAUGUUAAUGUGUGAAUACUGUUACUGUUUACAACACAUUAUGUAAAACCCUACAUCAUGUCAUAAUUUCACGAACUGCUGCAUCUUUUUACUGAAUUGUAACGUUAACCAUUUAAAACUUUGCUUUAUCUUAAGUUAAGCUGAAACAAAUGUUAAUACUUUUGCUGCUUGUUAACAAUUGAACGUAUAUUAUAGUGUAAUGUUUCCUUUUUUGACAAUUAAACUCUAAAUGUUUCAUCUCUAUUUUUCCAUUUCCCCCCUUAGUGACUCCACCUUGUGUUUAACUGCAGACCGCUUGCCAGUCAGUGUAAGUUUAUACAUGAAUGACAUUUUUAUGAAUAUGACUGUGUGCCUUUAUUGUACACAUUUUACACACACCUCUCUUUCUGUACUUUCUACACAAUUGAGGUUACUUUCAUACACAUAAUAUUUGAUCACAUGCUUAUGAACAUUAUUAUUAAGGCAAUUAACAUUGAAUUAUAUCACCAUUCAAGAUAAGUGGGUGAUGCAUCUUUUCGUAAAAUACACUGAGGUCGUACAUACAUUUCUUCAUCUAUUUAGUAACAUUUUAGAUGUUCAGUCCUGAUACAUUUUUGAAAAGAUGAUCAAAUAACAUAAUGCUCAGUUUCAGCAUUUGACUCAACUAGACUUUGAAUAGAUGUGUAGUCAAAAUUGCCAUAUGUUACUUUGAACGAAAGCACAUUAUAAUGACAUUAGUUUUGGGUGAAUGUCGGUUGAUUUAAAUGUAUUUAUUAUAUUUCAUACAAAUAAUUAAUAUUUAUUUCCAUUUUUCUUACAGAUAUCCUGUACUGUCCCUCCACUCUCUCCUAUCAUUUUGGACAUUCUGCCUUUCUAUCUCUCCUCUAUCCAACUCUGACUAUUUGAACAGCUAUUGCCAGCCUUUACAACCUAUUUUGAAAGCCUUUACCACAGCCUUUGACAGCCUUUAAAAACCGUUGUGAAAGCCUUUAAGAAAGGCUUUAACUGCCUUUGACAGCCUUUCUACCACUUUUAGAGCCUUAAAAACGGGCAUUCAGACACUUUGAGAACACUUUUUGGAAACAAGCUUAUUUUUUUCAACUGAUCGCGUGUAAAAGCAAUACUUUUGAAACAGCAAAAUCUUUGAAACAGCUUACUUUUAAAACAACUACUGUUCUGAAAAAGCACUAAUUUUGCACAAGUGUUAUUGUUCUUGUAGUUCUUCCUUUCCUGUCUGUUGCUCUACAGUUUCACCUGAAGAAGUUUCAUCACCAUCACCGCUCCUGCCUCAUUCAUUUUGAGUUCGAAAAAUACACCUUUAUUAUUUUUGACUUGAAUUUUAUUUUAACAAAAAAGUCCUGACAUCUAAACAUUUGUUAUUGAUUUGUGUUUCUGUUAAAUAAAGUAGUUUCUGAAAACAAUAAAGCAUUUCUGUCCACUCUGGUGUAAUUAAUAAUUGGACAUUGUUGUAUAAAAUCAUUGUUGUCAAAGGAUAGCUACAAUGCCUAGGAAAAGUAAGAGGUCACAGGCUGCAAGUGAGCGCUGGCAGAACAGACGUGACAUUGAUUGUGUAACUACUGAACAAGCAGAUUGUGCUCCUCAGAUCAGUGCAGAGACAAGGAAGGCUAUGGUAUCUGAUGUUAACACUGUGAACCAGGGAGGUCAAAGUGCAUCAUGUUUAUCACAGGUGUCUAAUGCAGAUGUGCCUAAAAGGAAUGUAUAUGAACCUCACAUAGCAGGCCCGUCUGAUUGUGGACCGAUAAAGCACAGAAGUCAAAGCAAUGAUCCAGAUGUACAACAGGUAACAAAUGCAAACAUGUUGAAAAGAAAAGUUGCUAGUGUUGAGUCAUGUUCCACUCAGGUAUCGUAUGGAGACAUUGGAAAGAACUGUAGUGAUGUAAAUGUAUCAGGCUCUUCUCGACAUGAAAAUGUAAACACUGCAUACCAGUCAGGAGAACAAAGUGUGUGUGCCUCACGCAGUCAAGCAUCUCUGAAAUAUAGACGAUUCAGAAACAAGCAGUGCACCUGUAACUCACUGACAUUUCUAGCAUUCCUGUAUGAGAAUGAAAACAUCACCAGAGCAGACCUAGACCGUGUUUUGGAUAAAGGCAAUGUGAUGUAUAAACAAGUCAGAAAAACAGUUCGUGAUCACAUCCAUCUCACAACUGAUGAGCUCCCUAAUCGGGUACCUGCACGUAAUCACACGCAGAGAGUUGACAAGUUACAGCUGUCUAGAUACGGUACGUUUGGAGAUCCGGAUCCCGGAGCUGUUGAUACCUUUCUGGACCUCGAGAUGGGACUGAGCUGCUUAUUAUCAGAUGUGCAGUAUGCUUUGCUGCUGAUGGCGUCACUGUGCAUUGCAGUUUUCAGGACCAGAAAUGGCAGAUAUGGUUUCUUUGACCCACAUGCUAGGACACCUCAUGGUUUGCCUCGACUCCAGCCUACAAGUACUCCUGGCACUGCAGUCAUGGUCACAUUUACACGACUCAGUGACAUGAUUCACAGGUUGAUCAGUUAUCACCACAUAUUGUUGACCCCAGAGUCCUGUAAGUAUGAGCUCAAACCAGUCGUGUUUUAUGAUGUGAACCCAAUUGAUGCUAUCCCAGCCACAGAAGGUAUGUCUACAAGUUCCUCUGUAACAACCACUGUGAUAAAUGAUGACACAAGUACUCCACAGAUGAACAUUGAUAUCCAUGAAAACACUGAGCAUGACAUGGAAACUGAACAGGAACAACUGAUGGAGUUCACCCAGUGUUCUGUCACAUUAACUGGACCUAAAUCUCUUGCUCCACAGAUUACCACUACUGUAACUGAUGACUCUCAUGACCGCUCAACCCUGAUAGAAACACAAGCACAUCGACCUGAGCAAAUCAGCGAUAACGCUUUGAAAUCACAGCAAAUUCAGGAGACACAAUCAAAUUUCACACAACCAUUAAUAAAUAUCCCUGUCACCAGUGACAAUGUCCUCAAUGAGAUCUCCAGUAAGCUGUCAAAACGGAACAAAGCAGAAAAGAAAAAAAUUCUGAGGAGAGUAAUGACACCUGACAAGACACCACAAAAGAAAGACAAUCAAAAAAGGAAAGAGAGAGAAAAGUAUGCAAAGGAUGAAACUUAUAAAGCAAAGAAAAAAUGUUAUUCAAUGAGCAAAUAUUCUGUCGAUCCUGAAAUACAGACAAAGAAAAGAAAAAAGAUCACAAGUAAAUACAGAGAAAGCACAGACUUCAGAUUUAGGCAAAAAUUAUACAUGACAACAAAAUACAGAGAAAAUGUGGAUUUUAAAGACAGACAAAAAAAAUAUAUCACCAAAAAAUACAGAGAAAAUGUGGAUUUUAAAGACAAACAAAAAAAAUAUAUCACCAAAAAAUACAGAGAAAAUGUGGAUUUUAAAGACAGCCAAAAAAGAUAUAUCACCAAAAAAUACAGAGAAAAUGUGGAUUUUAAAGACAGCCAAAAAAGAUAUAUCACCAAAAAAUACAGAGAAAAUGUGGAUUUUAAAGACAGCCAAAAAAGAUAUAUCACCAAAAAAUACAGAGAAAAUGUGGAUUUUAAAGACAGACAAAAAAAAUAUAUCAGCAAAAAAUACAGAGAAAAUGUGGAUUUUAAAGACAGCCAAAAAAGAUAUAUCACCAAAAAAUACAGAGAAAAUGUGGAUUUUAAAGACAGACAAAAAAAAUAUAUCACCAAAAAAUACACAGAAAAUGUGGAUUUUAAAGACAGACAAAAAAAAUAUAUCACCAAAAAAUACAGAGAAAAUGUGCAUUUUAAAGACAGACAAAAACAAUAUAUCACUACAAAAUACAAAGAAAAUGUUGCUUUUAAAGCCAGACAAAAACAAUAUAUCACUACAAAAUACUCAGAAAAUGUUGCUUUUAAAACCAGACAAAAAGAAUAUAUCAGGAAAAAAUACUCAGAGGAUGUAAAUUUCCGGCAAAGACAGCGAUCCUUUAUGCAUCAUCGAUAUGCAAAUGAUAUAUUCCGCCACCAACACAGACAGCUGAUGAGGCGAAUGAUGCGAGACAGGUACAAGAAAAAUCUUGCAUACAGGACUAUGCAUAAAACCAGAUGUGCAUUGAAAAUAUCACAGAAAUAUAAAGCCAUAAGUCAACGAACACGUCAGACUGACAGAGAGAGUGAAAACCCACUUAUUGAAAGUGCCAUCAGUGAUUUCCGAUCACACAUUAAAGCUGGUCCCACCCAUGUUUGCACAGUUUGUCACAAAGCCUCAUUUCCAAACCAGGUGCAAAAGUGCAAAAGGUCCAACUAUAUGAAAAAUCCAAUCAUGGUUUCAGCUUGUCUAAAAGGUCAGUACGUCCAUGAGUGUAAUGAUAACUGCAGAAAUCAGUGCACUGUCCCUGAUGAGAGGAAGACUGAGUGGAUUUGUCACACCUGCCAUAACCAUCUGAAAAAUGGAUCCAUGCCCAAACUUGCCAUAGCAAACAACUUGGAGCUUGCUGACAUACCACCUGAGCUGUGUGACCUCAACAUACUGGAGAGACAUCUGAUAGCAAAGUGCAUAACAUUUGCCAAAAUCAUUCCUCUUCCCAAAGGCAGACAGAGAGCUAUACAUGGCAAUGUUGUAUGUGUUCCCUCUGAAGUCCAGGAGACAAUUCAGGCUCUACCAAGAUUGAGAAAUGAGUCUCAGGUGAUGAGAGUAAAACUGAAGAGACGUUUGAGUUACAGAGGUCACCAUCUGUUUCAGACUGUUACCUGGUCCAAGCUAGUGCAAGCUCUGCAUAAACUGAAAGAGAUACACCCCCAGUAUGAAGACAUAACUAUCAGAGAUGAGGAGGAGUUAUGUGACCCCACACUUCCUGAUGAUGGUGAUGAGGAUGAAGACGAUGGUAAUGAUAUUACAAUGAAUGAUGACGACUAUGACGAUGACGAUUUGAUGGAGAUUGAUAGAAUUGAGGCUGCUGCCAUGCAUGACGUUGAAACUAAUGUUGAAAAUGACGAUGAGAACACAGACCUGUGUGAUAAAAGUCAGACCCAGGACAAUGAUGAUCAGACACAACAACAGGACGCAGACAUGCAUAAUGGUGGUGUUGUUUUGGAGUCGUGCCUUCAGCCACGGGAUGUUUCUGAGGAGAUAUUGUGUUUCAGUGACUCAACAUACUCAGUAGCUCCAGCAGAGAGAAACAGUCCAGUCAGUUUUUUCAAAAUACCCAAACUAGAGGCCAUGGCGUUCCCUGUUCAGUUUCCCACUGGUGAGAAUACACUGGAUGAAAACAGACCCAUGAAACUAUCACCCAGUAGUUAUUUCAAAGCAAGGCUCUUUGGUGUUGAUGAUCGCUUUGCCAAAGAUACCAACUACCUGUUCUUUGCACAGUUUGUGACUGAAAUACACUUGGCUACCUCCAGCAUGUCAAUACAGUUACGCAAAGGCAAACCUUUGACCAGAGAUGGACGAAAAAUAACAUCCAAGAUGUUGAGAGAAAAACUUGAAGUGGAGAGACUGGUGAGAAACAGAGAUGCUAUCAGAUUUAUGCAGCCGCUCAGAGGAACACCAGCCUACUGGGACAAAACUACAAAAGAUCUGUUUGCUAUGAUCAGACAGCUGGGCAGUCCUACUUUCUUUGUCACAUUUUCUGCAGCAGAAAUGCGUUGGCCUGAGGUGAUUAUUGCAAUAAAAUUACAACAAGGUGAGGAAGUGAAUUUUGAGGAGCUUGACUGGUCCACAAAGUGUGACAUUCUGAGAAGCAAUCCUGUGACAACGAUGCGCAUGUUUGAUAAGCGUGUUGAAGCACUGUACAGAGAUCUGAUCAUGUCUCCUGCACAACCCCUGGGCAAAGUUUUUGACUUCUUUUGGCGCCUCGAGUUUCAGCACAGAGGAAGUCCUCACAUUCAUGGUCUUUUGUGGGUAGAAGGUGCACCUGUGUUUGAGAGAGACUCUGAUAAAACUGUGUGUGACUUUGUGUCCAAACACAUCUCUGCUCAGCUCCCUGACCCAAAUAAACAGCCUGAACUCUACAAAAAGGUCAAAGAAGUGCAAAUACACAGUAAGAACCACUCAAAGACAUGUUUCAAAAGUGCAAGUUCAGGAUGCCGUUUUGGAUUCCCAAAACCACCCUCCAGACAGACAAUGAUAACAAGACCUGUGGAUGACGAUGAGGAGUCAGAGAGACUAAAGACAGCCAAAGAGAAACUUGCACCGCUAAAUCAGCUGCUGAAUAAACCUGAAACUGAAUCCAUGAGUUUUCAACAGCUCCUGUCUGUCUGUGACUUAACCGCUGAUGAGUAUGAGAAACACAUGAAUGUGAUGAGUCAGUCCAGCAACAUCAUUCUGAAGCGUGAGCCAAAAGACUGCUGGGUAAACACCUACAACCCUCACCUGCUCAAAGCUUGGGAUGCAAACAUUGAUGUGCAGUUUAUUCUCACAUACUACAGUCUGAUCCAUUACAUAUGUACAUACAUGUGUAAAAGUGAGAACUCUGUGAGCCAGUACCUGCAAACACUCAUUCAGAACUCCGACAGAGAAUGUGUCAAUGAAUGUGAUGAAAUGAAAGCGGUCAUGCAGGCGUAUUCCAAAAACGAGAAGUAUCAGCACAAGAAGCUGUUGCCCGAGUGACUUCCCUGAACAUGAAAAAGAGUUCACGCAGUGUGGUUUUUGUCCCAACUGAUGACAACCCAGUGAAAAUGAGUCUGCCUGUGUCAAGCCUUGACAACACUACACCAGACAGCUUGAAUGUGUGGAUGACAUCCUUAACAGACAAGUACAAAUCCAGACCUGAAUCACCAGAGUUUGAAGAGAUGUGCAUGGCUGAUUUUGCUUCAACCUGCAGACUGGUGUAUGGACAACAGACCAAGGGCAAGAAAGUGGUACCUUUGCUGAAUGAACUAGGCUUCAUACAGAGACGAGAAAGUGACAACGCUGCUGUCAUCAGGUAUCGCCGCAUAUCCAAAGAGAAAUACCCUGAGCAGUUUUACGGCACAUUGCUUAGACUGUAUCUUCCAUACAGAUCAGACGAUGAGCUGAAGAGACCAUAUCUACCCACGUAUGAGUCAUUCUAUGAGAGAGGUGUGGUUCAGCUGCCGUAUUCUGACCGACCCCUGCGUGUGAAACUCAUUGUGAAAAGAAACAGAGAGAGAUAUGAAAAAAACAGUGAGGAAAUUGACUCUGCUCUGGAGGACUUUGAACAAAACAAAGGUAUUGUCGAUGAAUGGUGUAAUUUGGCACCUGAAUCUGAACUGGUGAGGUUGGAGUGUAUUGAUGAACUGGAUGCAAGACACUGUGAUGAUGAAAAUGUCCAAGAGGAUGUACCUGAUUACAGUAGACAAGCAAAUGCUGCUACAGAAGCCAGAGUCAUGAGAGAGCCCCCUACAAUCGAUCCCACACGGUUACGACAAAUGUAUCAGAGUCUGAACCAGAAACAGGCAUGUGUGUUCUAUGCAGUGAGAGACUGGUGCAUAAAAUGAGUCUGUGGACUACAACCAGAGCAGUUUUUCUACUACAUUGAUGGUGGUGCUGGCACUGGAAAGUCACAUCUCAUUAAAUGCAUUCAUUCAGAAGCAUCAAAGAUUCUGAGAACACUACCUAGACGUGCUGAGGAAGCUGACAUCUCAAACCCGACUGUGCUGUUGACUGCUUUCACUGGAACUGCAGCCUUUAACAUCUCUGGAACAACACUGCACUCUCUUCUCAAGUUGCCCAGAAGUUUGAAACCUCCUUUUCAAGGUCUUGGGAACCAACUUGAUGAAAUCAGGUGUGAGCUUUUAAAUGCUGAAAUCAUCAUCAUUGAUGAAAUCUCCAUGGUGUCGAAGCCUCUGUUUGCCUAUGUGGAUGUGAGACUGAAACAGAUUAAAGGCAGCCACAAACCCUUUGGAGGAAUGUCAGUCAUUGCUGUGGGAGACUUUUACCAGCUACCGCCUGUGCGACAGUCCAAACCACUCUGUGUCUAUGAUCCAAGUGAACUUGACCUCUGGAGAGACAACUUCCAGAUGAUCACUUUAGAUGAGAUCAUGCGACAGAAGGAUGACAAAACUUUUGCUGAGAUGCUGAACAGACUUCGUGUGAAAACAAGGUCAGAUGAGCUUUCUGAAGCUGACAGAGCUCUGCUGUCACAGCGUGUCACUGAACCACAACUGUGUCCCUCUGAUGUCCUGCACAUUUUUGCUACAAACAAACAAGUCGCAGCACACAACUCUGCUACACUAUCUCAGCACCAUUCUGAUAUCACCACCAUUGAUGCAGAUGACUUUAAAAAAGACCCACAGACUGGACACAUGAAAAGACAAGGUGCACCAUGUCAUGGAAGCAGAAAUGAUCUACCUGACACACUAGAUGUUGCAGUAGGUGCUAGAGUCAUGCUCAUCAGAAACAUUGAUGUGUCUCAAGGAUUGGUGAAUGGAUCAUUUGCUACAGUAGGCCGUCUCAUAAGCUCUGAAAACAAUGGUUCUGCUCUUGUCACUAUGCUUGGACUUACGAUGGAUGAUGAAACAGCUGGCAGGAGCUAUCGUACAAGAGGAGACAAUCUUGUGUACAUCGAGAGAUCUGAGGAGGCUCUAAAACAGAGAGGAGUGGUACGCAGACAGUUUCCUGUAAAACUUGCCUUUGCAUGCACGAUCCACAAGGUUCAAGGUAUGACCAGAAAAUCUGCUGUUGUCUCACUGAAGCACAUUUUUGAGCCCGGCAUGGCCUACGUAGCUAUCAGUCGAGUGACCUCUCUCAGCGGACUGCACAUGCUUGAUUUGGAUGACAGUAAAAUCUAUGCUAACCCUGCAGUCACUUUAUCUUUAGAGACCAUGAGGCAAGCUAACUUUGAUCACAUCAUGCCUUUUCUCCAGAUCCAGCAUUCUCUCUGCAGACAGGACACUGUGAGCAUCAUUCAUCACAACACCGAAGGAUUACCUGCUCAUGUGAAUGACACCAAAAGCCAUCAUGAACUGUGUCUUGCAGAUGUUUUGUGUCUGACAGAAACUCACCUACAGGGCUCCUUUGUGGCAGACAGUCUCCAGUUUGAGGGCUACACCAUGUUCAAACGCAACAGACAUUUGUCCUACACUAACUUUCCACAGAUGGCCAGUAAAGGAGGUGGUGGAGUUGCUGUUUAUGUGAAAAACCAUUUGCAGGUUGUGGAGAAGCAGUACCUGAAUAAUGUGACUGACCUUGAGUUUGUGGCUUUGAAGGUUGAAUCUCCUGUAAGUGCUCUGAUUGCAGCUGUGUACAGACCUCCAGACUACAGUGUGCCAUCAUUCCUGUCCAAUCUGGGAAGCCUUCUGGACUCACUUGAGAUCAUGGACUGUCAUCCUAUCAUUGUCUGUGGCGACUUCAAUGAGAAUCUCUUUUCUAAUGCAAGUAAGCCAAUUUUGGAUUUCUUUCAGUCCAAGGGAUAUGGUCAACUGAUCACUGCUGCUACAACGGACAAGAACACACUGCUGGACCUGAUUUUCAUCUCACAACCUCAGCUAUGUCUCUCCUCAGGUAUUGUGCAGACGUACUACAGUUACCACAAUGCAACUUACUGUGUUAUUUCAUCCAACAGGUCAUAGAGGAAACUGCUCUUAAGGAAAAGACAAACUACAGCAGCUGUGGCUAAUGUAAUGCCAUAGUUUCAGUACAGAUUGAAAUGUGUUCGGUGAUUGUAAAUUUUACUACUGCAAAAAAUAUUUUUAUGGCUCAGAAUUUUUCGAAAGAAAAUAUUUUUCAGCUUGUAAAAUUUUCCAACUAUUCAAAUGUUAUAAAUUACAAUUUUUGGCCUGUGCAUUUAUCAAGUCCAGUCAAGUCAAGUUAAUCCAUUUAACUUGACUUGACUGGACAUAGGGAGGGUGGGUGCGGAUUGAUCAAUGCACAGGCCAAAACUCUCAGCUGCUGUGUACAAUAAUGUAUACAGCAGCUAAAAUUAAAAACCUCCAUCAGAAAGUGUGUGUUCCCUAAUGAACACACACUUUCUGAUGUUCUGUGACCUACCAGCUGAAACCCCCCUUUUCUCCACCCAACUUUACACCACUCUCUUAGCAUUGGUGGCUGUUAGUACACUAGAGCAAACAUAAGUUUCCUUUUGUUUGGGUAUUUUUUUCUUCUUCUUCAGUUGUCUCUGCCAUCUUUCACCUGACCAUUAGUGCUGUCCUGACUAGCUCACUGUGAGGAGAAAAAAAUUAUCAAACCGUCAACCAGAAGUAAACACAUCACUUUGGACAACUCAAAGACACAGUCUACCUGCUGUUUAACCCAGUCUUUGGUCGGAGGUGAAGAAGAGAUGACAUCCUCCACACCAUCCCUCUGCUGCUCUCAACAACCAUCACCCGCUGUGCUGGACAGACUGCAGCACCCACCAGGACCCUUCUCUCAUGGACUACACAAACAUGUGUUUUACCUGAUCGUGCUCCAGAUGUCCUGAAGCAGCUCUCAAUGACCACCAGACACCAGACUGAAGCACAACUGAUGCUGUAGUACCUGUCACUCACUGGGCUCGUUCCUGCUGAACCUCCAAGAGAUAAACCCCUCUUCAAGAAAGUCUGAGGUAAUGUCUUAGUGAACUUGUGUUCAUUUAUUUUUUCUGUUAUCUUAGCUGCUGUAUUAAUGCUUGUGACGCUAUUGUACAGCUCUGCUGAUAUCAUCGUCUUUAACAGCAGUGUUUUCUCCCAGGUCUUCUUCAAGCCAGUUAAGAAAGGAAGAACAGCUUAGACACUCAGGCAGCUGAACUCACCAAAGGUGGACAUCAUGCAGCCACCCUACGCCUUGAGCCUCCCUGUGUGAGGAAGCUUUGCUGCUGCAGACCUGGUGAAGUGGCUCUGGACAGAAAUAUUUUUUGCUCUGCUGCAGUGCUGAAGGUAUUCAUUGUAAUGAUGUGUGUAUUUAUUCAAUAUGUUUAGUUUCACAGAUUAUCAACACAAAUGUUUCUGUUUAUUUCCUGUUUUCAACCAGCUACAUUCUCCUACUUCAAGUCACUGUCUGUUCAUCCACGGUGUAGCUAGUGCAGCUAACUAAUAGGUGAUCCUACAAGUCCUGCAGUCCUGUGAAGCAAGCUGCAGCAGAUGUCAUCACAUUCAGAUCAUCAGUUCAUCUCUACUGCAGCUUUAAACUGUCCCUGAGGUAACGGUGUAUUUCCUUGCCCCAUAACAAUAACCAUGUUUGACAAACAUAGAAAAGCACAGUAUUACUGUUAGCACAUGAUUUUUGUUUGGAUUACAAAGUUCAAGUGAAGAGGAUUUUGUUUGUUUUUUUCAGGCCUCUCCUACUCCUGCCUCUGACUCCAGUCAUGCUGUCACCUUAAACACUGAUAACUGCACACGGCGAUUCUACAACCACAGGUCAAAGGUCAAAACAUUACCUUCACUCUGAACUGUACCGGCCUCUGCUUUUGGUUUUGAAAAAAAGUGCCCAGACAGAACACAGUACACACUUGAGGAACUGACUGAUUGUCUUCAGGACAGGACAACUUUUACUCUUAUAUUGUUUUGAAUCCUGUUUUCUACAUUAAGUGAUCGGUUGUCGGUAUCUGUUAAUAUUUUAAGUUUCCUUUAUGUUUCUUGGACUUUAUUUGUUCUAUUUUAUUUGAGUAUUGUCUUUCCCUUUUACUGUGUAUCUGUCCUUAUAUCAAAAGAUGACCAACACUGAUGAAGGGAAAAAAUACCAGUUACUUCAGUUGUUGCAGGCAGCUGAAUUUCUCAUUUUAAUAUGCUCACCAUAUCCCUCAAAUUUACCUACAAGAGAAGACAUGUUUUUAGAAAUAAAUGAUUUACUUGGGGUUUCAGCUGGUAGGUACACUGCAGGUUUUUCACGUGUGCUUAGUCUUGGGCUAAUGUCUUGGACAGCAGUGAUCCCAGCAUUAUAGUGUGAAACAAUCCCUGCUGAAGGUUGUCGUCACAAUCAUCAAACACAGGGCUUGGUCAAACGAGCUGUGUGAAUGGAUUUCAUAGAGGAACAAAGUUUUUAUGCUUAUCCUUAAAAUGUAAUUCUCCAUAGUAGAUAAGUUUUUUAAAAGAAACUAUCAACGUGAAGACAACCCAGCAUUUCAGUAAGACAAGUAGUGUGAAUGUUUGGAUAAGAAAACACUGGGAUCUAAAAUGCUGACCAGAUUAUCAGUCCACUGCAAUGAGCUGAUGACAGUACUAGCCUUGGUCUAACUAUUGUGAAAAGCCUUUUGGGUGGUAAGGUGGACCAAUACAUGCUAUAAAAAAUACUUCAGUGCCAUAUUUAAGUUGUUAACCUUUCACCUUUGCCUGUAUAUUUCCGCAAGCCUGGAUGACUUUGCAUCUUUUGCAUUUGCAUUCUUUACCUUACCCUCCACAUUAGUUCUCAAAUCUACUUUUUCAUCUGAUCCUUUAGAUUUUAGAUUUAAAGUUUCAGUUUCAUAUCAUUUCAUUUUGUUUAUUAUAAUUAUUUAUUAUUCUAUAAUUUUCUUUUUUUCUACAAGAGAGAGCCCACAUUUCACUACAGUUAGCUUUAAAAAAUACUAUAAUGCCAUAUUUAAUUCAUAAGCCUUACACCUUACUUUGCCUGUAUAUUUCCACAAGCCUGGAUAACUUUGCAUUAUUUGCAUUUGCAUUCUUUACCUUACCCUUCACAUUAUUUUACUAUUAUUAUUAUACUAUUCCUCUUGUUCCAUUUUAUACUUUUUGUAUUCACAUUUAUGUUGUUAUACUGCUGACCGAUUGUAGUAACUAUUUUUUUAUAACUCUCAAGUCACCAUUUUCAUAUAUUUUUUUAUGUAUAGGUAUAAAGGUUUUUCAGAUGUGCAAACUUAGUCUUAGGCUAAUCUAAACCCUUAAAAACACACAUAACAGUCCUGUAUCAGACUUUGAAAUCAAAUUGCAAGGUCUGUUUUUAAAGCCCACAACACAGGACUUGGCUUAAUGGGCCAUGACAAAUUUUACGAGCCAACUUUUGUUAAGGCUUAGUAAUCCGAAAACACAAGAAAAGAGGUGAAUGUGGGUACAGGGCUGCUGGAGUUUGAAUCCAGUAAAUAAUGGGGUGUUAGCCUCAGUCUAACAACUGUGUGAAGAGCCUUUAAUGAUUGGGCUAAACUAUUUUAGAAACAACUGAAAAUGUGAUACCUUUGUCCAUCAACAAUCACAGCAACUACAAUCUUAAAACCUUAAGCUUAAGAGACAGAUUGGUCACCCAUGUAAAGAUUUCUGCUUCCAAUACCUGUUCACAAACAAAUUGUUUAUAAUUUUCAUUUAAGGCACUAUGGAACACUGUUUCUUUAUGUGUUUAUGUUUUUAUUUUUUUAUUAUUAUUAUUAUUUUAAUGUUUUAUCAUUAAUCAUUUCAUUGCUAAAAAAAUGUUUAAGGAUUGACAAAAUUAUUUUUCUUAAACAUAAAUAUUUAAAUUAAACAUAUUUGUGUAAUGUGUUCAUUUCUCAUCUACAUUCAUUUCUAAUUCUUCAAACAUGAAGGCCUUUUCAGCCAUCUUUAAAAUUCUUUACCAUAUUUUCUGUAAUGUUCAAGUUCAGUUCUUCCCAGUGUUUUUACAUCCAUACAACUCAUCUCUUUUUCAUCAUCUUCUUCUUCAGUUCUGUUACGGUUGAAACAUUCAUACGACUUCUUAUAACACUUCACCCCUUUAACAGUUUUUUCAUUUAUACCUUCUCCAUUUAUUACUGACAGUUUAGCAUUGCUUUUUCGUCUUUCAGCACUCAGCAUUUCCACGCAUUUUCUGCAAGGAAAUGCAAUUUUUCUAGUUAAGUGGAAAUGCUGACACAGCAUUUCCACUUAUUGUUAUUCUACUAUUUCUUUAUUAUUAUUAUUAUUAUUUUUAUUAUUUUUAUUAUUAUUCUUCCGUACCUUUUUUGGCCCUUUUCAACUCCUUACCACUUUGUGCUAUUUUAACCAUUCAAACUUUAUACUAAUGCACUCCUUCAGGACAUUAUUGCUAUUACUUUUCACCUUUCUACCAUUUAUACUUUUUGCAAUAUUUCACUUUUUCUGCAAAAUUUGUUCCAUUACAAAUGAAUGGAGAUACAGCUAUAACACCUUCUCACCCUUAUAACUUCUGCAUACUUUCACCUACAGACCUCAUUUUUGCUUUAAAAUGUUCAGCAACGUGUCUGCUACAAAUGUUGUAUUCACUCCUUUUUGCUAUUUCCUACCGUUUUUGCACAAUUUCGCUUGGAGCAACAUGAAGUCUUCUGCCUUUUUCAGCCUGACUCACGCUACAGCGUGUGACGUCAGAUGUUACGUCACCGCUAGAUGCGGCCGGAGCCUUUUGGAUUCAGUAGACCAAGCGUGUUUAUUUUGCUGCCGCGGCCGCAAGUUUCACUCCACAGCCAUAAAAAACACAUCAAAAUGGAGGUACACUGGUCCUGCUUCUCACAAAAUACUCAUAAAAAAGUCAUCAAAUUGUACAGCUUGCCCAGGAGCUGAGUAUAUACCACCGGAGUGCAGCGAUGCUGCCCUUCGACUCCCAUGUUAAAUUCCGGCCAAGAAACCCUGACAAUUACUACAUACAAGCCGUGUUUUAACUCGCUGUUGUUGCCACAUUUUUUACACUAUUGGCAUGAAAAAUACAGUAUUGUCAGUAUAACAGUGUCAGGAUUCCCAAGAUGUUCUUAUUUUUUGGGAUACCACUUAAAGAAAUUGUGCUAGGUGAAGAAGUUUACACGGUUUCUACUUCAUUCUCGAUAGUAGCACUUGUCAUUGGCAGUGUGCUUUGCUCACAAGAGUCAGGCACGGCCGCGCGCACACACUGGAUCCGUGUGUGGACUGCUGUCUUUCUGUUUAUAGGAGGUACACCCGUAAUACUUACUAUGUUCCUAUAGUUUUGGUGUUUAAUUGUUGUAACAUACAAACUACUUCUUAUUCCUCUACUUCUGCUUCUCUUUACAGUCUACAUUUAUAUAAUUACUUUAACUUUAGCUCUUUAAUAUUUUGUACAAUCGUAUGUAGUGCAGUAACUGAAGCAUGCUACUAGAUGAUGCUGUUAUGCCUUAACAACUUACUAUGUUGACAUGCAGACUGCACACGUCUUUUCAUUAUACUUCUGCUAAUAAUAAUGUCAGUAUGAGUGUCACUUUAUUACUACUUAUAUGAUAACUACUAUAUAUAUCCCUUCUUUAUUUCCUGUACUUAAAGUUUAUUGUCAGCUUUAUACAACUUUUGUACAAUUAAAGGUAAUUUUUCAGCUUCUUUGUACGUUUCCUACAAAUGUCUUUUAUUUGUAUAUGUGCAGGACAAAUAUCCGACUCUAACGCUAAGCCAGCAGGUGACCAGUUUUCAAAGUUCUGCUGAAAUUGGGCUUAUUGACACAGACACGCAUGCAAGCGUGCACACGCAAGUAAAUAAACAUUCUUUGGCAGCAUAAUACCGUAAUGUGUUUUCAACACUGACAUGUCCGAGUGUUCCUGAAUGUCUCAAAGACGUCAACUGUGUGUCUGUGUGAACCCACGGUAUUCUGUGUCAGACUCUGCUCAGGUAAGUCGAUGCACAGUCUCUGUUAACGUCCAGACACUACAAAUGAGAAUUUCACGUUUCUACAUGACACUGGUUUGACUUAUAUUUCAUUAAGAGGAUGUGAGUGGUUGAGAUAUUGACUUGAAAAUGCGUACAAUACAUAUGAUACUGUUGAACAAUAUAACGCUAAAGCUAUUAGCGUCGAGCUAACGCUAAAGCUAACAGCAUAGGCUACUGUUAAUAAGGCUGAGUCAUGUGCUUGCUGAAAUACACAAUAUUGACUCAAUUUGUGAGCUGCCGUCAUGUUAUACACCGUGCCAGUUAAUAUUUACUUUAAAAAGUUCAUUAAUGUUGGUAGCGAUGGGGAUACUGCUAUUGUAAAGCAUUUGUUAAUGGGAGACGAUUGUGACGGUACCGCCGUUGCUAAAGGUAACAGACUGUUGAUUACUGUUACUUUGUCAUAUUAACAGUUGGGUCAUUGACACGGGGAUGUUAGCUGUUAAGCUCCUGAUUACUUUCUAUCAAUUUUGUAGAUAUUUUUGCUAAUACAGGUUAUCUUUACCAAGCACCUAGUUGUAACACAUUUGAAAUUAUAUUUUUUAUGUGUUAAAAUAAUACAACAUGCUGUUCUAAUUAUUGAGAGGGUUGUUCAUGAUGGUAAUGAUAUAGAUAUUUGCAAUGUCAAACAUCACAUUAUCGACAUAUAUGCUCUACAACCACAAGUUCAAAUACAUAUACAUUUAAUGGAUGGGUUGUAAGCUGCCUUGAAGCUUGUGAACCAGCUCCUCCUCUGUAUUUGCUUCAGUAGCUGCUCCUGAAAUUUAUGUACUACUGUACCGUAUGUUACCUUUAUAUGAGUUUGAAAUAAUUCAUAAAAUGUAUUCUGUGACAUUUUAAGCUGUAGCUAACAGUGAGGUGAUGUUUUAGAGCUGUUUCAUUUUCUAUUACUAUUAUGACUAAUAAUGUUGCUUUUCUCAUAGGCCUGCUGUUUUAAUGUACUAUGUAUCUGAAGAUAGCAUUAAUGUAUUGUUUUUUGUCUCAAACAAACAGAAGAUUAUACCACUCCCGUGCGUUUAUUGGUAAGUAGAAGUGUUAUUACCAAAAGUGACAUCGUACUCUAAAAAUUAGCUGGAUGAAUGUUUUGCUUUAUCCUGGUAAACAAGAACUCAUGAGACAUAUAUUUCAACAGAUGAUGCAUCUAAUAAAGACUGACUUUAAUUACAUAUUAAAUGUUGAUCUUUCUCUAUCACUACUGCAUAUCUCCUAUUAUACAUAUAUAUAUAUAUAUAUAUAUAUUGGAUACAUUUUUUCCUGGUGGACAACUGUGUUAACAAUGUUACCACACAACUACAUUUGUUUAUUCAAAACAUUUCAACUUGCUGGGAAAGUGUGACUUCAUUUUCAUAAUAAUGAUGAGGGAAAAUCAUUUGGGAAAAUGAGUGAAUGAAGUGAGCUGUGAGGCUGUUUAUUUUAAAGAGUAUUAAAUAUCUGUUUUCUACAUUUUAAGCUUCAUGUUUUUCAGGCCAAGGUUGCUUCACUAUAAUCUUUCCAGUCAUUAUGUGGUAUAAAACAUGAACUUGGAUUAGAAAUUACAAAACUAAUGAUUGUCAAUGAAAAAUGGUUGUGCCAUCAAUUAAGUAUGACAUAAUGAUUGUUUUGCAACUACAUUUACAUUUUCCUCCUCUAUAAUUUCACUGCUUCUGAAAUUGGCUAUUCUAUCUCUUUAAUGCAGACCAUUGUGGCCAACUCAGCUGAAAGUUCACUAACACAAAUACAUGUUAAUGUGUGAAUAAAUUUUUUUUACAACACAUUAUGUAAAACUGUACAUCAUGUCAUAAUUUCACAAACUGCUGCAUCUUUUCACUGAAUUGUAACAUUACCCAUUUCAAACUAUGCCUUAUCUUAAGUCAAGCUGAACCUAAUGUUAAUACGUUUGCUGCUUGAUAACAAUUGAAUGUUUAUUACAGUGUCAUGUUUUGUUUUUUGACAAUGAAACUCUAAAUGUUUCAUCUGUAUUUUUCCAUUUCCCCUCCUAGUGACUCUACCUUGUGUUUAAGUGCAGACCGCUUGCCAGUCAGUGUAAGUUUAUACAUGAAUGACAUUUUUAUGAAUAUCACUGUGUGCUUUUAUUGUACACAUUUUACACACACCUCUCUUUCUGUAGUUUCUACACAAUUGAGGUUACUUUCGUACACAUGAUAUUUCAUCACAUGCUUAUGAACAUUAUUAUUAAGGCAAUUAACAUUGAUUUAUAUAAGCAUUCAAGAUAAGUGGGUGAUACAUCUUUUCGUAAAAUACACUGAGCUCGUACAUACAUUUCUUCAUCUAUUUAGUAACAUUUUAUAUGUUCAGCCCUGAUACAUUUUUCAAAAGAUGAUCAAAUAACAAUGCUCAGUUUCAGCAUUUGACUCAACUACACUUUGAAUAGAUGUGUAUUCAGAAUUCCCAUAUGUUACUUUGAAUGAAAGCACAUUAUAAUGACAUUAGUUUCGGGUGAAUGUCGGUUGAUUUCAAUGUUUUUAUUAUAUUUCAUACAAAUUAUUAAUAUUUAUUUCCAUUUUUCUUACAGAUAUCCUGUACUGUCCCUCCACUCUCUCCUAUCAUUUUGGACAUUCUGCCUUUCUAUCUCUCCUCUAUCCAACUCUGACUAUUUGAACAGCUAUUGCCAGCCUUUACAACCUAUUUUGAAAGCCUUUACCACAGCCUUUGACAGCCUUUAAAAACCGUUGUGAAAGCCUUUAAGAAAGGCUUUGACUGCCUUUGACAGCCUUUCUACCACUUUUAGAGCCUUAAAAAGAGGCAUUCAGACACUUUGAGAACACUUUUUGGAAACAAGCUUUUUUUUUCAACUGAUCGCGUGUAAAAGCAAUACUUUUGAAACAGCAAAAUCUUUGA